UUUCUAAUUACAUAAAGUUGUUACUUUUUUAUUCAAACUCGACCCCUACAAUAUGUUUUAUUCAUUGAAAUAUAUGUAAUGAAUUAAUGACCCAAUGUUUGCGUUCACACACAGCAAUCACUUUGGAACUAGUACUAGUUACCCUUGGAAAGAAAACCUCUUGUUGACAUAGUCGUGGCCAAAUUGCUAUGCCGGCUGCCUGAAAUGACAACGAGCAAGGCGUUCUUUGACAUUAGAAUUUGACCAUUGCAAAUCGUCCCACCAAUCUUUAUCCACUUCAAUGCUCUGAAGCCCCAUUGCACUGCUCAUAUCAAAGGGCAAUUCUUUUAGUGUGGGACAAUCUUGUAUCUUUAAGGUCUCCAAUGAAGUCCAAGCUAGUCUGGUGCUUAUCUUUCUUAAACUUGGCAUAUUACAAAGAAUCAGUGCUCUUAGUUUUGGGAAAGCGCAUGAGCUAACAUCCUGAGAACACAUAACAAUCUCUUCAACCCUACAACAGUCUUGAACUUCUAGAUGUUGGAGUUCUCGAAGUUGCUGAACUAUAGCAUUGCAAAAUACCAUAGUCAUCACUGGACAGUUACAUAGAACCAAAAUCUUCAGUUUGGAUAGGCUUCCCGGUUGCACAUGGCCCUCCCAUAUUCUUUCCAGUUUAGGCAUGUGAAUUGCAUCCAACCUUUCCAAAUUAGGCAAUAAUGAUUCGUUUUGUGU
Molecule: long non-coding RNA, 705 nt
Filed under: Helianthus annuus (common sunflower)
Lineage: Eukaryota; Viridiplantae; Streptophyta; Magnoliopsida; Asterales; Asteraceae
Description: hypothetical non coding rna
Source: RNAcentral